RNAcentral lists this ribosomal RNA (240 nucleotides) under Rossellomorea aquimaris. RNAcentral's name for it is "Bacillus aquimaris partial 16S ribosomal RNA". It matches the Rfam family "Bacterial small subunit ribosomal RNA", at positions 1302 to 1533 of the family's 1533-position model. Lineage: Bacteria; Bacillati; Bacillota; Bacilli; Caryophanales; Bacillaceae. The record is from RNAcentral.
AGGCUGCAACUCGCCUACAUGAAGCUGGAAUCGCUAGUAAUCGCGGAUCAGCAUGCCGCGGUGAAUACGUUCCCGGGCCUUGUACACACCGCCCGUCACACCACGAGAGUUUGUAACACCCGAAGUCGGUGAGGUAACCUUUUGGAGCCAGCCGCCUAAGGUGGGACAGAUGAUUGGGGUGAAGUCGUAACAAGGUAGCCGUAUCGGAAGGUGCGGCUGGAUCACCUCCUUUCUAAGGAA